AACAGUGCUCAGCCAGCCUUGCAUAAGAGAGGCAGUGAUCGAGGGUAACAUAUUCAUAGGUGUCUAUAUUCAGAAGAACUACACUUACAGACUGAAAAAAGCAAAUAGAGGGUAUGAUGAUUUCCUGGGUCUGCCUUGUCAUCUUUGCAUGGUAUUGUACCAUUGCUUUAUCCUGUCCUGAACAAUGCACUUGCUAUUCAUCUCCUAAUGGCACUGCUGUUGUGUGUGUGUCUCUCACAAAUUUUCCAAAAGCUAUCCCCAGCGACACAGUAUCUCUCUCCAUUGAGUUCACCAACUUGACCAACAUAGUCUCUGAAGAUCUGAGGGGGUUUUCCAGCCUACAGGAGCUCCACCUGUCUGGGAACCAGAUCAGAAAGCUGCCUGAGGACUUCCUCCGUCACCUCCCUCUGCUCCACACACUGGAUCUCACUGGAAAUCUUCUGCAGGAUCUUCCGCCUGGAGUAUUUUGCUGUUCUCCGCUGCAGAAUUUGGUCCUUAAAGGCAACCGGUUCCUGUCUGUCAAUCCUCUAUGGUUCCAAGGGAUGAGCAACUUGACCUGGCUGGACCUUUCAGACAACAAACUGAGCUCCCUCCCCUUGGCUGCUUUCCAGAAUCUGUCUUCCUUGAAAACCUUGAGCCUCGGCAACAACAAGCUGGAGAAGCUGCCAGAAGGUUGUUUAAAUGCCCUGCCAAGCCUGGAGAUCCUCCAUCUUGAUGACAAUGAGCUCAGCUCCCUUGCUCCUACCACCUUUGACUUCACAGUAAGACUGACCCAGCUUAACCUCCAAGAUAACAAACUGAAGAAGCUCCCACAAGGACUUUUUCAAAAGCUUCAAAGGCUGGAAAUCCUGAGUUUAAAUGACAACAGGCUGACUGCAGUUCCACUGGGGCUCUUUGACAAACUGGAGGUAUUGGGUGUAGAAACAGGACAAGGUCUGGAUCUUUCCGGAAACCCCUGGAAAUGUGACUGUGAAGUGGCAUACCUGUGGCAAUGGCUGACCAACCACAAAGACAAAGUGUUCUUCCAAAACAAAACCCAGUGUGCAACACCGGAUGAACUUAAAGGGAAACCUAUCACAUCCCUAACUGAGCAGGAGGUUGCUGGGUCUUGCUAAGAAGGUCUGCAAGAUUAUUGGACCUUUCAGAUCAACAUUUGACAACCUGAGAAUCCAGCACUAUCCCAAAACCCUGAUAAAAAAUAACAGCUUUAUCUGUUGCAUCGUGUUUGCUAUGAUUUGUUCACUCAGAGACAUGUACUGUAUAAAAACUGGUUCAUAUUAGAACAACAUGACAGAAGGCCACAAGAUGGCAUCAAACUCACAUCAGUUUGAGAUUCCAUUCUGUUAUAAUUAAAGGACAGGCAAAUAGCUUUAAAACAUUAAAACAUUACAUGACAGUUAUGUUUUAUAUCUUGGUCAGAGGUAAGGAAAAUAAUUACACUAUAUACACAGAUUAACAGGGUAUUAAAAAACCCAGAUCACACACACUUUACCAAAAAAACACUUAAGACCUUCAGUUGUGAAUACUGGAAAAAAGCAGUCCACUGAAAAUGUUAAUGUAAAAGCUGAGAACAAGUGUAUGAAGUGAGUUCAAGAGGCCAUCUGAGAACAGGUGUAGGACAUCACUAUUCCAACUGAUUGAUUUGAGAAUGCUGGGAAUACUGAUUCUUGACUGGUUGGUCAAACUGUCCUUUGUGUAACAAUACCUCGGUAAGACUGACAUUUAUUUCUCUCCUUAUUGCUGUCAUGGUAGUUUUGCAAUAGAUUAUUAAUCUGGAUAUUGUGACAGUGCUGGAAAUAAUUUCUUUUCUUAUUUAGUAAAGUGUAAAUAAAGCACUGCACUUUCUAUUUACAUCUGUGUAGUUCUCAUGUAUUAAGGUCCCUGAGCCAUAUUACUUAAGAAAGAGAAAUCUUUUACAAUGUAGGAAUACUUAUUGUUGGUAUGAAUAUAACUGGUGGUGAUCUCCGGGGCUUUAAGAAAAGUUCACGUUAAUAUUGGCAUGGAAUUGGCUAAAAACACUUCUGUGAGGUAGUGUAGAUGACCUCAAACACAUAUUGAAAUCAGUUUAUCAUAUAGAUUAAUUAGAAUAGUACUAGUUUGUAGAACUCUAUAUUGUGCAAAUGUCUUAUGGAAACAUUUGAAAAUACUCCUUAGCCUUUUAGACUGUUCUUUUUUCUAAAAAUGUUUUCCCCCCUAUGUUGUGCUGGGUGGUUUUCAGUGGGUCAGGCCAUCAUCUGGGAGUUUCGCAAUGGUGUUUUUAAGAUUAAAGACUGGCCUUGGGAAGUUCAAUGAUGACACUGGCAAAGAAACAACAGGCACGACGAAUCAAAAGGCUACGGAGUUAAUCUUGUGGCUGGGGCUUUGGGUGCCAUAUCAGAUGUCAUGUAUUCUGCCACAUCUACUCUCUCCUUCAUUUUGGACAGAGAUAUUAUUUUGAGGUACUUAAACCGAGGCAAAUUAUUGGGAUAACAGUGUAUUUUCCUCUAGCCCUUUGGAAUCAGUGCAGUCUUGUUCUACUGAUUCUCACACCGCAGCUAAGAUUCAAAGAUUAUACGUAUUAUCCCUCCUACCUUCUGUAGUUUAUUAAAGGCACAGAUGUCUUGAGACAGAUGAGCUGUCUCAAAUUCCUUAAGAACCCAACUUUCAAAAGCUGCCUACUAGCCUUUUGACUUUGAUGAAUGAAUAAACCUAACUUUUUUUAAACUUUUAGGGACAGACAAUUUGCAUCAUUCAUUAAUAAUUCAUAAUUCAUCAUUUAAUGUGAUUUUAGAUCAGAUGGAAUGAUACAAUCUACUGCUUUAUGUAUGUAUAAAUCUAUGUUUAUACAUAUUUCCCCAUAAUAUUUUUGAUUAGUUUUAAUUAAACCCACUCAUGCCUUAUUUGCCUGGCAAUAUGUGUCUUUAAACAGUAUACACUAUAUACUAUGCAUGGCUGGCUCAUAUUCAAGUCUACACACUGAACCGUGGCUAAAUAUAGAAGGAUGUGCUCUUUCAUGUGGCCUUUUCAUGGAAGAACUCAUGGCAGAGAAAUGAAGUCAUUAAAUACACGCCAAUUCAAGGUUACAUUGUUUGUGGGUUUUUAAACUCCCCCCAAAAUGAAAAUGAAUAAAUAUUUUGUUAUUUUUAA
This is an RNA transcript of Lepisosteus oculatus (spotted gar), 3126 nucleotides long. It is a transcript of the gene named leucine-rich alpha-2-glycoprotein-like, with no coding region annotated. The record is from RefSeq and is a predicted model, not a curated record. Lineage: Eukaryota; Metazoa; Chordata; Actinopteri; Semionotiformes; Lepisosteidae.